CCGCCGGAGACAACGUUGACUCGGAUCACCUCACGCGGCAGCGCCCCGAGGCCACGCCCCCUCCAGGGCCGUCCCUCCACCUCAGCUAAACUGCUUUGCCCAUUCUCCUUGUCUCUAGGCCAUGUGACCUGUUCUGACUAAUGGAACUUGAGCAGAAGCAGAGUUUCAUUUCUGGAUCUAGGCAACUAAGAACAGAUCAUCAGAACUAGAAAGAGAGUGUCAAAUGCCUGGUGACAAGUCUUCAGCCUCACUGGCUUAACUGGAGCUUAUGUGAGAAGGAAAAGAAUUUGAGCCUGAACAAAGAAACUCUAAAGUUUCUUCCAACUCUCUUAUCAAAAGAGGCAUCCUGGCCAAUAGCUCUCAACCUAGAGUAAAGCUCCCAUGUACCAUAUGGAGUGUCCUUGCUACGAUUCCAUCCU
Molecule: non-coding RNA, 419 nt
Organism: Microcebus murinus (gray mouse lemur)
Lineage: Eukaryota; Metazoa; Chordata; Mammalia; Primates; Cheirogaleidae
Source: RefSeq, a predicted model, not a curated record